This 848-nucleotide long non-coding RNA is filed under the name Sinocyclocheilus anshuiensis. RNAcentral's name for it is "lncRNA (ENSSANG00000001474.1)". The record is from RNAcentral. Lineage: Eukaryota; Metazoa; Chordata; Actinopteri; Cypriniformes; Cyprinidae.
CUUUAUGAUCGUGGUGCUGCUGUUGAUCCUGUACCGGAAGGUUCCUCUCUGCUGCAAAAUGAGGGUUUAUCAGGAAUCUCGUACUGACAUGGAAUCUCCUCCUCAGUACUACAACAGCAGACAGACUCUCGUAGCGUCAUCUGAUGCUGAGCAAACACAUGACACCGGUCUUGAUAACGUGAAUGCACGGUCGGGCUCGUUGUUCCUCAUUGGUGUCCCGAGCAGCUACUACCUUUCCUCACUGGAGCCUCCUCUUCCUCAUCUGCCCUCGUACGAGAGCGUCCGCAAGAAAGACCGACAGCGGCAGAUCCACAUGAUGAUAGCCGACCGCUUUGGCCUGAACGGACCUGUUGAGACAGAGCCGCCUCCCACAUAUGAGGAGAGCAUUCGUGAAUCCGUCCAGUCCAUUGACGUCCCGUUUGACAUCCUGGCACCCGAGGAGGAGCAGCCACACACACCGGUUACAGAUUUACCUGCAUAUGAAGAUCUACCUCAAAUCACAGACUCACAAGAUCCCAAUAACACUGUUAACUAAAGCGCAAGAAUGCAAUCUGUCCUUAGCAGGAAAUCAACAGCCGUUGAGCUGUGACUACCCUGACGAGCAGCCGACGUGUGCGUGAAUCCGCUGUGCUUGCAAAAGACGCCAAAAUAGGGUAGGACUUGACCUAUGCAAUAACUUGCACUAGCACAAUACGAGAGGAGAAGGAUGUUGCAUCACUACUGGAAAAAGGGAAGAGAAGAACAAGAAUAUGCAAGAGUUUAAGUUCUGUCUCUGUUAAAAAUGACAUGAAACUGCUACUAUAUAGAAUUAUACUGACUGUAGAUAUUGCCAUGACUUUUCCAAGCCU